RNAcentral lists this ribosomal RNA (468 nucleotides) under uncultured bacterium. Its description in RNAcentral is "partial 16S ribosomal RNA". It matches the Rfam family "Bacterial small subunit ribosomal RNA", at positions 28 to 507 of the family's 1533-position model. The record is from RNAcentral.
GACGAACGCUGGCGGCGUGCUUAACACAUGCAAGUCGAACGGAAAGGCCCUGCUUUUGUGGGGUGCUCGAGUGGCGAACGGGUGAGUAACACGUGAGUAACCUGCCCUUGACUUUGGGAUAACUUCAGGAAACUGGGGCUAAUACCGGAUAGGAGCUCCUGCUGCAUGGUGGGGGUUGGAAAGUUUCGGCGGUUGGGGAUGGACUCGCGGCUUAUCAGUUUGUUGGUGGGGUAGUGGCUUACCAAGGCUUUGACGGGUAGCCGGCCUGAGAGGGUGACCGGCCACAUUGGGACUGAGAUACGGCCCAGACUCCUACGGGAGGCAGCAGUGGGGAAUAUUGCACCAUGGGCGGAAGCCUGAUGCAGCAACGCCGCGUGCGGGAUGACGGCCUUCGGGUUGUAAACCGCUUUCGCCUGUGACGAAGCGUGAGUGACGGUAAUGGGUAAAGAAGCACCGGCUAACUACGUG